Long non-coding RNA from Arvicanthis niloticus (Nile rat), 1307 nucleotides. RefSeq lists it as uncharacterized. The record is from RefSeq and is a predicted model, not a curated record. NCBI's taxonomy places the organism in Eukaryota, Metazoa, Chordata, Mammalia, Rodentia, Muridae.
CAUACAUUAUGAACUGUGGUGAUUUUGCCCUUUCCCUUACAGAAACACAGCAGUUUGUCUUACGGGAAGAUUGUCAAUAUUCCCUGUCGUUACUCCUCGGCAUAGUCUAUGUGACUGGCUGACUCCUCUGCUGCCACACUUCACACCAUGGUGGACUGUGUACCAUCCUAACUCUAAGCCAAAACAAACCCAUCUCCCCUCUAGCUGUUUCUUGUUGGUUAUGACAAUGAGAAAAGUAAGAAGUGCACCAUGUAUCCCGGGUCAGACAGGCAACAUCCUUAAUGAGGAUAAAGACUAAGAUCCUAUGUGUGAUCACUGGAAAGCUAACGAUAGCCACGGACGAAAGACACUUCACCACAGGAAUGCACAGAGGAACCUUCUGCUGGGGCCCCAGUGCGGCAUCAGCACAGAAGUGACAAUGAUGAAGGACAAUGAGCUGGAGCAGAAGGACAGAAGGACCUUUUGAAUCACAAGAUGAUCAGUAUCUACCUUGUUCUAUAAAGGGUGUUGGGCAACUACCAACUUACACGAAAAUAGCCAGCUAUACAAAUCUACUUGCUGUUUAAAUCAACAAUGUCUACACGUAAGCAUAGUUCGGGAAUUCCAUCCACUCCAAAGAGAUAAGAGAAAGACCUUGAUAAGAUAAAGAGAGCUGUAAACAGGAGGAAUGCGCCUGCUGCCAAGGCACUCCCUGCCUGCUCCCCAGGCCAAGUACUAGGACAGAGGCCUGCCUUGGGUACUUGGUUUUAUGACUGCCAGUCUAAUGUAGUCCAUCCUUUGAAGCUAAUCUUUCUUUAUCCACAUCCUUCAUCUUCCUUUAGCCCUUGUUUGCUUCUUUCUCCAGGCCAGCUGCGUUUGCCAGCACCUUAAAGUUGUGUGUUCUGAAAAAUACAGCUUGAGACUGGGUGAGCGAAUUCAAUUUGCUGGUUCACUAAUGAUUUAGACCAUUUUCAAAUAGAAAACAUUAGUGUAGCCUGCAUGUAGUAAAGGCAAGUACUGUUCUGUGAAACUUGGGCAUCUAUCUAUCUAUCUAUCUAUCUAUCUCAUUAGAAAUACAGACAAAUUGCAAUACAUUGUGUGCAGGUGCUUUGCUGGCAUACCCUAGAAUUACAACAUGCCAGUGUCCAAAAACCUGACUGAGAAGCAAAGUUAUCCAACAAAUACUGCAUUAACACAGUUCUGACCUGCUGUGCCAGCCCAUCACCUACCUGCCAUCCGUGCCUGGCUACAACUCAGCAAAGUGCACAGGGUUACCCUGGCUUUCUGAACAGGAUGGCAACUGAAUUUAUAGUCCGCCUACUUCUGUU